RNAcentral lists this ribosomal RNA (505 nucleotides) under Archipialea sp. SLW-2002. RNAcentral's name for it is "partial 16S ribosomal RNA". The record is from RNAcentral. Lineage: Eukaryota; Metazoa; Arthropoda; Insecta; Diptera; Acroceridae.
CCAAAAACAUGUUUUGAUGAUAAAUUGAAUAUUAAAUUUGGCCUGCCCAAUGAAUUUAUUUUAAUGGCUGCAGUAAUUUAACUGUACAAAGGUAGCAUAAUCAUUAGUUUUUUAAUUGAAAGCUAGAAUGAAUGGUUUGAUGAAAUAAGAACUUUAUUAAUUUAAUAGAUUGAAUUUCAUAUUUUAGUAAAAAAGCUAAAAUUUGUAUAUUAGACGAGAAGACCCUAUAGAUUUUUAUAAGAUUAAGUAAAAAAUAUUUUAAGGAUUUUUAAUGUUUUAUUAUUUAUAUUAUUUAAUUGGGGUGAUAGUAAAAUUUAAAUAAUUUUUAUUUAAUUAAUACAUUAAUAUAUGAAUUUUUGAUCCAAUAAAUUGAUAAAAAAAUUUAAAUACCUUAGGGAUAACAGCAUAAUUUAUUUAGAUAGUUCAUAUUGAUAAAUAAGAUUAUGACCUCGAUGUUGGAUUAAGAUAAAUUUUAGAAGUAGAAAUUUAAAAUUAAGUCUGUUCG